AACCAACAGGGAUUACCUCAGUAACGGCGAGUGAAGCGGUAACAGCUCAAAUUUGAAAUCUGGCUCUUUUAGGGUCCGAGUUGUAAUUUGUAGACGAUGCUUUGGGUGUGGUGCCGGUCUAAGUUCCUUGGAACAGGACGUCAUAGAGGGUGAGAAUCCCGUAUGUGAUCGGUCGCCUUCGCCCGUGUAAAGCUCGUUCGACGAGUCGAGUUGUUUGGGAAUGCAGCUCAAAAUGGGUGGUAAAUUUCAUCUAAAGCUAAAUAUUGGCCAGAGACCGAUAGCGCACAAGUAGAGUGAUCGAAAGAUGAAAAGCACUUUGGAAAGAGAGUUAAACAGUACGUGAAAUUGUUGAAAGGGAAGCGCUUGCAACCAGACUUGGGCUGUCGCAAUCAUCCGGGGCUCGCCCCGGUGCACUUGUGGCGGCACAGGCCAGCAUCAGUUUCGGUGGUGGGAUAAAGGCCUUGGGAAUGUAGCUUCUUUCGGGGAGUGUUAUAGCCCUCGGUGCAAUGCCGCCUACCGGGACUGAGGACCGCGCUUCGGCGAGGAUGCUGGCGUAAUGGUUGUAAGCGACCCGUCUUGAAACACGGACCAAGGAGUCUAACAUCUAUGCGAGUGUUUGGGUGUCAAACCCAUACGCGUAAUGAAAGUGAACGGAGGUGAGAACCCAUUAGGGUGCAUCAUCGACCGAUCCUGAUGUCUUCGGAUGGAUUUGAGUAAGAGCAUAGCUGUUGGGACCCGAAAGAUGGUGAACUAUGCCUAAAUAGGGUGAAGCCAGAGGAAACUCUGGUGGAGGCUCGCAGCGGUUCUGACGUGCAAAUCGAUCGUCAAAUUUGGGUAUAGGGGCGAAAGACUAAUCGA
RNAcentral lists this ribosomal RNA (858 nucleotides) under Helotiales sp. RNAcentral's name for it is "partial large subunit ribosomal RNA". It matches the Rfam family "Eukaryotic large subunit ribosomal RNA", at positions 63 to 938 of the family's 3401-position model. The record is from RNAcentral. Lineage: Eukaryota; Fungi; Ascomycota; Leotiomycetes; Helotiales.